Molecule: ribosomal RNA, 242 nt
Filed under: uncultured bacterium
Lineage: Bacteria
Description: partial 16S ribosomal RNA
Rfam family: Bacterial small subunit ribosomal RNA
Source: RNAcentral
CUACCACGCGAGUGGAUGCCAAUCCCCAAAACCUCUCUCAGUUCGGACUGGAGUCUGCAACCCGACUCCACGAAGCUGGAUUCGCUAGUAAUCGCGCAUCAGCCACGGCGCGGUGAAUACGUUCCCGGGCCUUGUACACACCGCCCGUCAAGCCAUGGGAGCCGGGGGUACCUGAAGUGCGUAACCGCGAGGAGCGCCCUAGGGUAAAACUGGUGACUGGGGCUAAGUCGUAACAAGGUAGC